UGCGUAGGCGGUUCUUUGUGUCCGCUGUGAAAGCCCCGGGCUUAACCUGGGAAUGGCAGUGGAAACUAGAGGACUUGAAUCCGGCAGAGGGGGGUGGAAUGCCACGUGUAGCAGUGAAAUGCGUAGAGAUGUGGCGGAACACCGAUGGCGAAGGCAGCCCCCUGGGCUAAGAUUGACGCUCAGGCACGAAAGCGUGGGGAGCAAACAGGAUUAGAUACCCUGGUAGUCCACGCCCUAAACGAUGUCAACUAGGUGUUGGGGAAGCGAUUUCCUAGUACCGCAGCUAACGCGUGAAGUUGACCGCCUGGGGAGUACGGUCGCAAGAUUAAA
This 330-nucleotide ribosomal RNA is filed under the name uncultured bacterium. RNAcentral describes it as "bacterial SSU rRNA". It matches the Rfam family "Bacterial small subunit ribosomal RNA", at positions 568 to 898 of the family's 1533-position model. The record is from RNAcentral.